RNAcentral lists this ribosomal RNA (520 nucleotides) under Microbacterium sp. P1-5+2. RNAcentral's name for it is "bacterial SSU rRNA". It matches the Rfam family "Bacterial small subunit ribosomal RNA", at positions 707 to 1224 of the family's 1533-position model. The record is from RNAcentral. Lineage: Bacteria; Bacillati; Actinomycetota; Actinomycetes; Micrococcales; Microbacteriaceae.
CACCGAUGGGCGAAGGCAGAUCUCUGGGCCGUAACUGACGCUGAGGAGCGAAAGGGUGGGGAGCAAACAGGCUUAGAUACCCUGGUAGUCCACCCCGUAAACGUUGGGAACUAGUUGUGGGGUCCAUUCCACGGAUUCCGUGACGCAGCUAACGCAUUAAGUUCCCCGCCUGGGGAGUACGGCCGCAAGGCUAAAACUCAAAGGAAUUGACGGGGACCCGCACAAGCGGCGGAGCAUGCGGAUUAAUUCGAUGCAACGCGAAGAACCUUACCAAGGCUUGACAUAUACGAGAACGGGCCAGAAAUGGUCAACUCUUUGGACACUCGUAAACAGGUGGUGCAUGGUUGUCGUCAGCUCGUGUCGUGAGAUGUUGGGUUAAGUCCCGCAACGAGCGCAACCCUCGUUCUAUGUUGCCAGCACGUAAUGGUGGGAACUCAUGGGAUACUGCCGGGGUCAACUCGGAGGAAGGUGGGGAUGACGUCAAAUCAUCAUGCCCCUUAUGUCUUGGGCUUCACGCAUG